This 748-nucleotide long non-coding RNA is filed under the name Rhinopithecus bieti (black snub-nosed monkey). Its description in RNAcentral is "lncRNA (ENSRBIG00000046717.1)". The record is from RNAcentral. Lineage: Eukaryota; Metazoa; Chordata; Mammalia; Primates; Cercopithecidae.
UCGAAGUAAAUGAUUUUCUGAAGGUCGGUCUCCCAGAAAGCAUUUGCUCUGGUUUUUUGUUUUGUUUUAUUUUCGUGUUUUCCCAGUUAGGGAAGGGAGAGGAGCCUGUGCAGAGUUGAACUGGGGUGGAGAGGUGCGUUGUAAAGUAUGGUUUCCAGAGACGGUGAGACCUCGUCGCUAAGCGUUGUUUCCUCUGCAUGUAACUUUUCAGCGUGGCCGCAUUUUGAAAAGGCUGAACGUAGAAAACUCUGGAAUGGAGAGGUUGGCUACUGGAGCAGGAUCCAGGGGCUUUAAAUUUUAACCUGAGUGCGAUUGAAUGCGCGACUCCCAGAAGAGAUAGCCAGGCGUCCGCCCGGCCACUCAACCCCCGCCAGGACUCGGAAUGCGUUGCUUUUGGUUCUUUUCUACAAGGAUGUCUGCGUGGAUAUCCCUGGACACUCGAUACCCCCCGGGGACCUGCUCUUCCCGCAGCUCCGCAGACGCGGCAGGAGGGCGCGCUGGCCCCGGCGCUGCUGGGACAGAGUUUAAAUCUCGGAAAACCAAAAACACCCUUUAGAAACGUCAGGUGGUGGCGGCGGAAACUCAAAGGUCGCCCCCCACCCCCAGCGCGGGCUCCCCGCCGCCGGCCACUUCGGGGGAAGGACCGCGCAGAGGCAGCGUCGGGGUCCCCGGGCGGUCGGAAUCGAGGCCCCGCGCGUUGCGCAGGCCAGGCCCGGCUCGGAGGCCCCUCGCCCGGCGCAGCCCCCGG